CAAACCAAAGCUGGCGACCGGCGCACGGGUGAGUAACACGUAUCCAACCUGCCUCAUACUCGGGGAUAGCCUUUCGAAAGAAAGAUUAAUAUCCGAUAGCAUACAUUCCCCGCAUGGGUUUUAUAUUAAAGAAAUUCGGUAUGAGAUGGGGAUGCGUUCCAUUAGUUUGUUGGGGGGGUAACGGCCCACCAAGACUACGAUGGAUAGGGGUUCUGAGAGGAAGGUCCCCCACAUUGGAACUGAGACACGGUCCAA
RNAcentral lists this ribosomal RNA (255 nucleotides) under uncultured bacterium. RNAcentral describes it as "partial 16S ribosomal RNA". It matches the Rfam family "Bacterial small subunit ribosomal RNA", at positions 74 to 334 of the family's 1533-position model. The record is from RNAcentral.